This 2091-nucleotide long non-coding RNA is filed under the name Triticum aestivum (bread wheat). Its description in RNAcentral is "long non-coding RNA (TAES_LNC005142)". The record is from RNAcentral. Lineage: Eukaryota; Viridiplantae; Streptophyta; Magnoliopsida; Poales; Poaceae.
UUCACACAACCCAUGUAAUACAUAAGGGAAAGAGAUACAUAGUUGGCUUACAAUUGCCACUUCACACAAUUACAUGAAUAAAACAUUACAUCAUCCAGUUUCACACAAGGUGCGACUACGGAACCAAAAUAAAAGAAGACUACCCCAAAAGCUACACAGAUCCCCGAUCGACCCCAACUGGGCUCCACUACUGAUCAACUAGAACGAAACAACAUAAAGGACAAGAUCUUCAUCGAGCUCCUCCUUGAGCUUGGUUGCGUCAUCUGCACGGUUCAACGGCACCUGCAAGCUGGUUUUGGAAGUAUUUGUGAGUCACGGGGACUCAACAAUCUUACACCCUUGCGAUCAAGACAAUUUAAGCUCAUAGGAAGGGUACAAGGUAUGAGGUGGAGCUGCAGCAAGCGACUAGCAUAUAUGGUGGCUAACAUACGCAAAUGACAGCGAGAAGAGAAGGCAAUGCAUGGUCGAGAAAACUAUGAUCAACAAGUGAUCCUAGAACAACCUACGUCAAGCAUAACUCCAACACCGUGUUCACUUCCUGGACUCCGCCGGAAAGAGACCAUCACGGUUACACACGCGGUUGAUGUAUUUUAAUUAAGGUCAACUUCAGGUUUUCUACAACCGGACAUUAACAAAUUCCCAUCUGCCCAUAACCGCGGGCACGACUUUUGAAAGUUCAAAUCCCUGCAGGGGAGUCCCAACUUAGCCCAUGAUAAGCUCUCACGGUCAACGAAGGAUAUACCUUCUCCCGAGACAUUCCGAUCAGACUCGGUAUCCCGGUUCUACAAGACAACUUCGACAAGUUAAAACAAAUCCAGCAACACCGCCCAAAUGUGCCGACAAAUCCCGAUAGGAGCUGCACAUAUCUCGUUCUCAGGGCACACUCAAAUUGUCUAAACUUCCGGUAGGCCAGCCCAGAGUUGCCCCUGGUGGCCACCGGCGGCUGAUAGGUUGGACCAACACUCAGAGGAGCACUGGCCCGGUGGUUUAAAUAAAGAUGACCCUUGAGUCCGCGGAACCCAAGGGAAAAAGAGGCUAGGUGGCGAAUGGUAAAACCAAAGUUGGGCAUUGCUGGAAGAGUUUUAUUCAAGGCGAACUGUCAAGGGGUUCCCAUUAUUACCCAACCGCGUAAGGAACACAAAAUCCGGGAACAUAACACCGAUAUGACAGAAACUAGGGCGGCAAGAGUGGAACAAAACACCAGGCAUAAGGCCGAGCCUUCCACCCUUUACCAAGUAUAUAGAUGCAUUAAUUAAAUAAGAUAUAUCGUGAUAUCCCAACAAGUAACCAUGUUCCAACAAGGAACAACAUCUCCAUGUUCCCACAAGGAACAAACUUCAAUCUUCACCUGCAACUGACAACGCUAUAAGAGGGGCUGAGCAAAGCGGUAACAUAGCCAAACAACGGUUUGCUAGGAUAAGGUGGGUUAGAGGCUUGGUUCAACAAUAUAGGAGUCAUGAUAAGCAAGUGGUAGGUAUCGCAGCAUAGGCAUAGCAAAAGAGCGAGCAUCUAGCAAGCAAAGAUAGAAGUGAUUUCGAGGGUAUGGUCAUCUUGCCUGAAAUCCCGCAAGGAAGAAUGAGCCCAUGAAGAAGACAAAUGGAUGUAGUCGAACGGGUCCUCACAAACGCGACGUUAUUGGAACCACCCGAAGAAGCAACACCGGAAAGAAGCAAACAACAUAGUAAACAACCAACACAUCAACAUGGCAUGAUGCACAAUCAAGUAUGAUGCAUGUCCGGUUUAAUGAAGCAUGGCAUGGCAAAGUGCACAAGCAACACUACAAAUUAAGUGGAGCAAACGGUGACACCAUGACAAGUUAUUUAGUUCGAUCUCGUUUAUGUACCCAACAAUAUUAAAUGUUGUUAAGCAUGGCAAGAGGUGAAGCAAAGUAAACUACCUAUCUAGUCAAGUUUAAAUGAGGCCGAAAGCAACGAACAACAAUUCCGGAAACUCCUAAUGAGCAUAUUAUAGAUUUGGUACUGUUCUGCCCUAAGCCAUAUUUUAGAGUUGUUAAACAUGCAAAGUAAAGCCACAUGGUUAAACUAGGCAUUUUUCUACCCCAUUUACAUAUAAAGAUUAUUUAAUUCGGAG